UGUACCAUCCUCUAGAAGUUCUCCAUGUCUAAUCUCCAUCCCUUCUGCUGCAGUAAUCAACCCAUUGAUUAACUACUGAGAGAGAGAGAGAACAUGCUAGCGCAGGGACCCCUACAACUCAUAACAGGUCAGGGGUGAGCUCCAAAUCACCAAAAGGCUGGAUAUAGACCAGUCACACAUACACAAGCCUCCCCUUGGCUCUAUUUCUAACGCGGAAUACUCCUCUAUUUCCCACCCUUAACCUCAAAUGAAACUAGGGCUCUGGAGCCUGCAUCCCUGGGGAGCUUACCCCACCUGUACAUGCUUGUGGAACCUCCACUUUCGACCCUGGCCUCUUGUCCCUGGAGAAGCGGGUGGGAGACUAAAUGCCCACUUCUAGCGACCCCCUAAACCUCCUCUCCCAUGCCAGCGGUGUGGAGCCACCGGGAGACUCCCGCAUAUCCCUUGGCCCGGCGCCAAUGGGGUGGGGGGUGGAGGGACAAGGAGAGAUGGAGUCUGCGGAGUCCCAAGGAACCCCAGCGCCUUGGUCCCUGCAGGAUCUCCCCACCCCCACUCCGCAUUCUUCCCAGCCGGUCCUCCGGAGGGGACGCGACCCUGUACAUCCUCCCACCGGCACUCUCCACGCAACGGGACAAAGAAACCCCACUGCAGCCGGCAAGCGUGACCGCAGGGCACUGGUGCAGCAGGUCCUGGAACUUCGCAACAACUUGUCUCUCUGUCCUGUGCAUCUGUCUUCUUCCUCAUUACCCGGCUGGCUCCUGGAAGGUGUGGUGGGGUAUGGAGGUGAAGAGGGUAGGCUUUGGAGCCAGAGUGCCUGCUUUCAAGUUUAUACCCACAAUCCAAAUGAAUGAAUGACACAGCAGCUGCGCGACCUCCAGUGAGUUACUAAACCUCUAUGUACCUUCAUUUUCUCGU
Molecule: long non-coding RNA, 915 nt
Filed under: Ictidomys tridecemlineatus (thirteen-lined ground squirrel)
Lineage: Eukaryota; Metazoa; Chordata; Mammalia; Rodentia; Sciuridae
Description: lncRNA (ENSSTOG00000031705.1)
Source: RNAcentral